This 289-nucleotide long non-coding RNA is filed under the name Ursus maritimus (polar bear). Its description in RNAcentral is "lncRNA (ENSUMAG00000025603.1)". Lineage: Eukaryota; Metazoa; Chordata; Mammalia; Carnivora; Ursidae. The record is from RNAcentral.
AUGAAGGAAAGUUUUGGGAAGAAUUCUUCAUCCCAUCCUCAAGGGCCAGUGGGAAUUUUCAUGCUGGUUGGAAGUAAGAUUGCAGUUGCAUGGAAUUCUUGCCACUUCACCAAGGAAUACCUGGUUUUGUCACUUUUACCAACUCCCUUUUCUGAGAAGAAACAUUGAUGGCCUCUCAAGGUAAUGAUGGAUCCUAGAAGGGAAGAAAAACUGUCUAUGCCUUUGCCUUUCUUGAAUGCUAUCUCCAAAGAGUGAGUUGACAACUUAAUUUAAGUCACUGGUUCUCCAU